CCCCCUAAGUUACAUCUCAUAGUUACAUGAAUGUAUAUUUUUUAAUAUCACAUUGUCAGACAAUUAAGGAAAUGUGGGAAGUUCUUAAAGAUAUCAAUUAGGGAACUAAAGACGUCAAGCAAUAUAAGAUCAAAUCCUUGGGGGAAGAAUAUGAACUCUUCCACAUAGAAUCCGGUGAAACUGUGGCCUCCAUGCAGACGAGGUUUUCG
Molecule: long non-coding RNA, 209 nt
Filed under: Lathyrus oleraceus (garden pea)
Lineage: Eukaryota; Viridiplantae; Streptophyta; Magnoliopsida; Fabales; Fabaceae
Description: Pisum sativum (pea) long non-coding RNA (PSAT_LNC017213)
Source: RNAcentral